AACCCCACAACUGAUUC
This 17-nucleotide unclassified non-coding RNA is filed under the name Mus musculus (house mouse). Its description in RNAcentral is "oocyte_clustered_small_RNA12936". Lineage: Eukaryota; Metazoa; Chordata; Mammalia; Rodentia; Muridae. The record is from RNAcentral.